GUGGGGAAUUUUGGACAAUGGGCGAAAGCCUGAUCCAGCAAUGCCGCGUGCAGGAUGAAGGCCUUCGGGUUGUAAACUGCUUUUGUACGGAACGAAACGGUCCGGGUUAAUACCCUGGGCUAAUGACGGUACCGUAAGAAUAAGUACCGGCUAACUACGUGCCAGCAGCCGCGGUAAUACGUAGGGUGCAAGCGUUAAUCGGAAUUACUGGGCGUAAAGCGUGCGCAGGCGGUUUUGUAAGACAGGCGUGAAAUCCCCGGGCUCAACCUGGGAAUUGCGCUUGUGACUGCAAGGCUGGAGUGCGGCAGAGGGGGAUGGAAUUCCGCGUGUAGCAGUGAAAUGCGUAGAUAUGCGGAGGAACACCGAUGGCGAAGGCAAUCCCCUGGGCCUGCACUGACGCUCAUGCACGAAAGCGUGGGGAGCAAACAGGAUUAGAUACCCUAGUAGUCC
RNAcentral lists this ribosomal RNA (450 nucleotides) under uncultured bacterium. Its description in RNAcentral is "partial 16S ribosomal RNA". It matches the Rfam family "Bacterial small subunit ribosomal RNA", at positions 354 to 796 of the family's 1533-position model. The record is from RNAcentral.